GUGCUCGCUUUGGCAGCACAUAUACUAAAAUUGGAAUAAGACAGAGAAGAUUAGCAUGGCCCCUGUGCAAGGAUGACACAAACAUUCAUGAAGCAUUCCAUAUUUUU
This 107-nucleotide small nuclear RNA is filed under the name Cervus elaphus hippelaphus. Lineage: Eukaryota; Metazoa; Chordata; Mammalia; Artiodactyla; Cervidae. The record is from RNAcentral.